AAGUCGUAACAAGGUUUCCGUAGGUGAACCUGCGGAAGGAUCAUUAACACGUAUCCAACGUUAAACAACCCUGUGAAUUUUCAACACCGCCGGAAUGAGAUUAAUUUCCAACUCCGGUGAAGGCAAGUGACCUGGCACCUGGACCACAUCAAAGCUCUGACAGAGUGCCUCUGGAUCGUGCUUGAAGGGUGACGCAGUAACGAUCGCUGGAGGCCCACACGGCCGGCGACUGGGUCAGCGAGCUAACGCUCCCUCAACAACCACUUAACAUGACGACAGUUCCUCUUUAACUUGAGUUGAGCUAUAACAAAAAACUAUACAACUGUUAACAAUGGAUAUCUUGGUUCUC
This 349-nucleotide unclassified non-coding RNA is filed under the name fungal sp. RNAcentral's name for it is "partial internal transcribed spacer region". The stretch from base 1 to 46 matches the Rfam family "Eukaryotic small subunit ribosomal RNA", at positions 1786 to 1831 of the family's 1831-position model. The record is from RNAcentral. Lineage: Eukaryota; Fungi.